Molecule: transfer RNA, 72 nt
Filed under: Canis lupus familiaris (dog)
Lineage: Eukaryota; Metazoa; Chordata; Mammalia; Carnivora; Canidae
Also listed under: 1 other name
Rfam family: tRNA
About the family: Transfer RNA (tRNA) molecules are approximately 80 nucleotides in length. Their secondary structure includes four short double-helical elements and three loops (D, anti-codon, and T loops).
Source: Rfam by way of RNAcentral
GCCUGGCUGGCUCAGUUGGUAGAGCAUGUGACUCUUGAUCUCAGGAUCUCAGUUCAAGCCCCAUGUCAAGCA